This is a long non-coding RNA of Heterocephalus glaber (naked mole-rat), 1155 nucleotides long. RefSeq lists it as uncharacterized. The record is from RefSeq and is a predicted model, not a curated record. Lineage: Eukaryota; Metazoa; Chordata; Mammalia; Rodentia; Bathyergidae.
UGGGCAGCAAGCACAGCGAGGUCCCCCCCCCCCCAGGGCGAGCUCAUCCCCAGGCUGCCCUGCGGGGCACAGAGGGGCCUCUUCCAAGGAGAGUCAUGGGCUGAGGCCAAGCAGGAAACAGGCGGAGCCUGGGAGCAGGGAGGCUGUGAGCAAAGCUCAAGGGCGCCGUUUGGUUUUGGCACCGGGAGAGGAGCAUUCCGGAGGGAGCGAGCGAGACAGACCUGGAGCUCGUCCGGGGGCCGGGUCAAAAUGUCCCUGCACCGGUCCCCAGCCCCGCGGCAGGGCCCAGGCACAAGUGGGCAGGGCCCAGGCUGCUCCCCACAGGCCUGGAGUGGAGCUGGCAUCUUCCGGCUCAGCUGCGGCCGGGCGGGGCAGGAGCAGGCAGGGGCGACAGAGUCAGCCUGAAGAAGCGCGGUCGGACCGAGUGAGAUGGGGAGGUGCCAGGAGCCCCUGCCGUCCAGGGCUUGGGCCCUGCCCCCUGUGCCCCACCCAGUGAGGCCGAGAACUGCAAGAUAAACAAACUUCUUCUUUUUACAGCCAUUAAGUUUGUGGUCUUUGUGUGGCCCGAUUGUCAUCAGCCAAGGGUCCCUUUAUCGUCCAUCUGAAGCCAACAGCGUGGCCAUCACCCUGCGCUGAAUUACUACCCACAAGUCCUCGGUGUUCGAAAACAUCAUGCCUGGCAUGGGCUCUAAACAUGGUUUUAUCCACACCAUCUUGAUGAAGUUGAUUAGGGCUGGCUUGGCUUCCUCUUCCGGCCUGCCGGGCCUGAGCCCCCAGGCGAGUGCAGCCUGGACCACAGGGUCAGCCCCAGCUUCACUCUGCAGGGCCCCGAACCCUCCCAGGCUGUGCCCGCCCUCCUGACUUCCGCUGGGGACCCUGUGCCUGAGUCCUGGGUCCCCGCCUGGCCCUGGCCCCAGCCUGGCUGCUCCCACCCCACGCAGCGGGGCAGUGCGUGCCAGGCCAGGCCCGCGAACACCGCAGUGGGUGCAGCCGGGACUCAGGGACGGUUGUUUACGAGGCUCUGGAUGCUGCCUCACAGCACUGUGUUCCGAUUAGGAUCUGAUUGUUAAUUUUUAUGUCAAUAAUUAUCUAGUAACCAAUAAAAGUUUCCAUAAAACCAAAAUACCUGCAAAAGGUAUUUCAACAAUUACUAAA